AAAUUGAAGAGGAUAUAACCAAAAAAAGGCGACGACCUAUUGAUCGUCAAGGUCCUAGUGCUACAUUACAUGUUGGAGGAUCUAGUCAUUCAAUAAAAUCAGAACCCUUGGAAUUCGGAGAGGCUAACGAAUUCCAAGUCUCUGAACUUGAAGCACUCGCAUUAGAAAUGCAGGGAUAUGGUAGAGCAAGAAAGGAUCAACAAGAAGAGUACACGAUAGAAGGGCUCGAGCAAUUUGGGAACACGGAUAAAGAACUUGAUGUGGGGUUUUGGGAAGAGCUAUUUAACG
RNAcentral lists this unclassified non-coding RNA (288 nucleotides) under Hevea brasiliensis (rubber tree). The record is from RNAcentral. Lineage: Eukaryota; Viridiplantae; Streptophyta; Magnoliopsida; Malpighiales; Euphorbiaceae.